UGGCUAAGACAGUAAAGAAUCUGCCUGCAAUGCAGAAGAUCCAGGUUCAAUCCUGG
RNAcentral lists this transfer RNA (56 nucleotides) under Bos taurus (domestic cattle). It matches the Rfam family "tRNA", at positions 8 to 63 of the family's 71-position model. From Rfam's summary of the family: Transfer RNA (tRNA) molecules are approximately 80 nucleotides in length. Their secondary structure includes four short double-helical elements and three loops (D, anti-codon, and T loops). RNAcentral also lists the same sequence under 5 other names. Lineage: Eukaryota; Metazoa; Chordata; Mammalia; Artiodactyla; Bovidae. The record is from Rfam by way of RNAcentral.